CCUAUUCCAAAUGUAUGGAAAUACACAAUGUCCAAAAAAAAAUGGAGACGGCUUAACAGUGAGCCAAUACAUCGAGUCAGCAAACAGCUCUUACAGAGUUAUUUUAGUUCGCAUCCACCAUUGAAACUAGCCCCUCGAGAGCUAUUAAGUGAGCAGAAUGCGAGUACCUGCCGGAGAAUGAUCUGAUAGCCUUGGAGUUCGCUUAGGAUUGGACCGAGCUCUGAGUGGUUUGCCAUUUUGGCUUCGAGCAACAAAGAGAGGGGGAUUUGAUGGCAAAAGAUGAACGGGAGACUGCGGGUGAGUUAUGCAGGUGCUAGUGGAGACGCUGUGUGAUAGAUAGAAAGGGGGCAGCACGUCGUGUAAGCAGGAGAUAAAUACUCAGGGAGAAGAAAGGGAGGUCUCAGAGCGAGAGAUAAAGAGUUCGGAAAAAUAAACGAAUGCUAUGCGGGGCUUAAAAAACUAGGAGAGGAACAUCAAAGCAUCCUCGCUGCUAAUCAAGGCUACAGCAGGGAGAGGUGAGCCCAGGAGCCAUCAGCAGUAAGGUGCAUCAGAGGCCCUCGGAGCCGCCACCCCUUCCCCUGUCCUCCCUGGCCUCUCACCCCGCCAUCUGGAGCUCUCACAUGGAGUCAAGCCCCCCUGCACCUGAAGCCCCUGGCCUGGAGAAUGGAGCACCACCUCUAUCCCAUUACUCUACCUGCUGCCAGCACACACACACACACACAGGAAUACUUUCCUCUUGAAAGAAACAAAAAACUCACAACUUCUGGUCCCUGUGACAGCCUGGCCUUGGGAUGCACCCAUAUUGCCUAGAAGCACUUGGCUAAACUCACACACACACACACACACACACACACACACAAACAUAGAGACACACAGAUACACCGAAUUCCUCUAAUGUAUCAGCAAUACCCAGGAAAUAAAAUUCCAGCCCGCGGUAAUUAGGUGGGAGUGAGGCUACAUGGUCACAGACAGAUGCACGUUGCCAUGGAAAGGGGCAAGGGUAGGCUUGUCUCAUCCAUUCGGUUGCUAUGGUGAAGGACAGGCCUCUUUUGCCUCUCAAACUGGAUGUACAUUUCGGACACUGGGCCAGUCAGAGAACACGGAAACACACGGCUAGCUCAGCCGCUAGCACGGACCUCUGUUGGAUGUUAACCAAUGCUGUACAGCUUGGACUACCAGACACAGUAUAUAUCUAUGUAAAAACACAUCAAGCCCCGGCAGUGGGUGUGAACAGAGAUCUAUCUAUAUGUGGGACAUGUCGUGGAGAUUGUUUUCAAUCAGAGAUUUUGGAAGGGUUUUGUUUUUCUUUUUUUCUCUCUUCUUUUUUUGAAAAAAAAAACCCAACAAAAAACAAACAUUAUUUACACAUUCCCUUCUUCGGUGUCAUGUUGAUAUAGUGUAUGGAUGAUAAUGGUGGCAUUUAUUGUGGUUUCUGACAUUUGAAAAAAAAAAAUAAAGUGGAUGGGAGAAGUGUCCCCCUUUCUCUGGAUCUGAGGAGAACCGGUUCCUGUUUCUGUGUCCUCUGAAGAGAGCAAUUUUUUUGUAGUUUUCCUUGUACUUUUUCCUG
This is a long non-coding RNA of Clupea harengus (Atlantic herring), 1567 nucleotides long. NCBI's taxonomy places the organism in Eukaryota, Metazoa, Chordata, Actinopteri, Clupeiformes, Clupeidae. The record is from Ensembl.